RNAcentral lists this ribosomal RNA (370 nucleotides) under uncultured cyanobacterium. RNAcentral's name for it is "bacterial SSU rRNA". It matches the Rfam family "Bacterial small subunit ribosomal RNA", at positions 376 to 761 of the family's 1533-position model. Lineage: Bacteria; Bacillati; Cyanobacteriota. The record is from RNAcentral.
CGAAAGCCUGACGGAGCAAUACCGCGUGAGGGAGGAAGGCUCUUGGGUUGUAAACCUCUUUUCUCAGGGAAGAAAAAAUGACGGUACCUGAGGAAUAAGCAUCGGCUAACUCUGUGCCAGCAGCCGCGGUAAUACAGAGGAUGCAAGCGUUAUCCGGAAUGAUUGGGCGUAAAGCGUCCGCAGGUGGUUUUGUGAGUCUGCUGUUAAAGCGUGCAGCUUAACUGCAUAAAGGCGGUGGAAACUACAAGACUAGAGUACGUUAGGGGUAGAGGGAAUUCCCAGUGUAGCGGUGAAAUGCGUAGAGAUUGGGAAGAACACCAGUGGCGAAGGCGCUCUGCUAGGACUGUACUGACACUGAGGGACGAAAGCU